This is an RNA transcript of Ictalurus furcatus (blue catfish), 4330 nucleotides long. It is a transcript of the gene named kinesin-associated protein 3a, with no coding region annotated. The record is from RefSeq and is a predicted model, not a curated record. The transcript is spliced from 28 exons. NCBI's taxonomy places the organism in Eukaryota, Metazoa, Chordata, Actinopteri, Siluriformes, Ictaluridae.
UGAAACUGUUGUGUGACACUCCAGUCCGUGAUGCAUGAUGGGUAAUGAGACUAGCAACACCCUAGCAACGCAUACGUAAACACACGUCGACUAAAGUAAAUCAAACAGCUGUUAUAUCGUCAUAUUAACAACAAAAAGACACAAUGCAAGCAGACAACGUAAGAUAUUUAAAAAGAUGACAUGAAGAAGAAACCUUGCAAGGAACCAGACUCGAAAUGGGAAUCCAUUCCUCUUCUGGGUGACACCGGAUAGUGUGACUCCAAAUCAUGACUCUUCUACAACUGUAUACUGGUAUCCAUGUUGGGUUGUCCAGAGAGCAGAGAGAAAGUCAAGGGAGGUAGUCUGGAUGUCCAUCCUACAGAGAAAGCCCUUAUUGUCCAGUAUGAAGUGGAAGCGACUAUAAUGGGCGAAAUGGGAGGCCCGAUGCUUGGAGAACGCAAGGCGUGUCAGAAAACUGUUCGUCUGAAAAGCCUUAAUGCCAGCACGGAUAUUGGGUCAUUAGCGCGGAAAGUGGUGGAGGAAUGCAAGCUCAUUUCACCAUCCAAGCUCCCAGAAGUGGAGCGACUGCUCUUCUACCUACAGAACCGCAAUUCAGCUCCAGAGAAAAAAGAGAAGAAGCAGAUAAAGCCAAGAGAUCCUGCUCCGUUUGAAGGCAUGGAGCUGGACGAGGAGGCCAACAUUAACAGCAUCGAUGACUACGUGGAGCUGCUGUACGAGGACUUUCCAGAGAAAAUCAGAGGAGCCACGCUUAUUCUGCAGCUGGCCCGUAAUCCUGACAACCUGGAGGAGCUGCUUCAGAACGAAACAGCUUUGGGAGCCCUGGCACGAGUACUGAGGGAGGACUGGAAGCAGAGCAUAGACUUGUCAACUACCAUCAUCUACAUCUUCUUUUGUUUCUCCAGUUUCAUCCAGUUCCAUGCGCUCAUCACUCACUAUAAGAUUGGCGUUCUGUGCAUGGGCAUCAUGGAGCAUGAGCUGAAGAGGUACGACCUGUGGCAGGAGGAGCUGCAGAAGAAGAAGCGAGCUGAUAUCCUUUCUGCGUGGUUGGUCAGAGUCCUUGACAGGGUUGAACGGGAGGAAGACCCAGAGAACCAAAAUCUGAAGAAAGAGUAUGAGAAAGCGCUGAAGAAGUACCACGGCUUGCUGACCAAGCAGGAACAGCUGCUGAGAGUGGCUCUGUAUCUACUGCUGAACCUGUCUGAGGACACGCGCAUAGAGCUGAAGAUGAGGAACAAAAAUAUAGUGCACUUGCUGGUGAAAACCCUGGACCGGGAAAGUGAGGAGCUCCUGGUGCUCGUCGUGUCCUUUCUGAAGAAGCUCAGCAUCUUCCUGGAGAACAAGAACGAUAUGGCUGAAACGGACACUGUGGAGAAGUUGGCUAAGCUGGUCCCUUGUGAUCAUGAGGAUCUGCUGAAUGUCACUCUGCGUCUCCUCCUCAACCUCUCCUUCGAUACAGGCCUCCGCAGCAAGAUGGUGCAGGUGGGCCUGCUGCCCAAGCUCACCGCGCUGCUAGGAGAUGAAGCACAGAAGCAUUUAGCCAUGCGCAUACUGUACCAUAUUAGCAUGGAUGACCGCUUCAAGUCCAUGUUCGCCUACACAGACUGUAUUCCACAGGUGAUGAAGAUGUUGUUUGAUUGCGGUGAGGAAGGCGCAGACCCAGAGCUCAUCUCCUUCAGCAUCAAUCUGGCAGCCAACAAGAGAAAUGCACAGCUCAUUUGUGAAGGUAAUGGACUGAAGAUGCUGAUGAAGAGAGCGUUCAAGCUGAAGGAUCCACUGAUGAUGAAAAUGAUCCGGAACAUCUCCCAACACGACGGACCUUCCAAGAAUUUAUUCAUUGAUUAUGUCGGAGACCUUGCCGCUCAGAUUGGUCAGAACGAGGACGAGGAGUUCAUGAUCGAGUGUUUGGGGACACUCGCUAACCUCACCAUCCCUGACCUGGACUGGGAGCUGGUGCUUAAAGAAUACAACCUAGUACCCUUCCUUAAAGACCACCUCAAACCUGGUUCUGCAGAAGACGACCUUGUACUGGAGGUGGUGAUAAUGAUCGGCACGGUCUCUAUGGAUGACUCCUGCGCCGCCAUGUUAGCCAAGUCAGGCAUCAUCCCUGCUCUUAUAGAGCUACUCAAUGCUCAACAGGAGGAUGAUGAGUUUGUUUGUCAAAUCGUAUACGUCUUCUACCAGAUGGUGUUUCACCAGGCCACUCGAGACGUCAUUAUAAAGGAGACCCAAGCUCCAGCUUACCUCAUCGACCUGAUGCAUGACAAGAACGCUGAAAUCUGCAACGUGUGUGACAACACACUGGAUAUUAUAGCCGAAUAUGAUGAAGAAUGGGGGAGGAAGAUCCAGAGCGAGAAGUUCCGCUGGCACAACUCUCAGUGGCUGGAGAUGGUUGAGAAUCGGCAGAUGGAUGAAGUGGAACCCUUCUUGUACGGCGAUGAAGGAGAGCCCUUUUUACAGGGAGCGGACAUUCUGGAGCGGCCCGACCUCUUCUACAGUGCAGUAGAUGGAUUAAUCUCUGCAGAUGCUGCCAUCACUCCAGACUUCUUUACAGACUUUCAAAAUGGAGACUAUGUUGCAUCACAGGGUUUCCCUGGCAGUGCUGUCUCCGAGAGAUAUGGUCAGGGGGCAGGGGGACCCAUGCGGCCUGCUACAGCCUACGGUUUCCGGCCCGAUGAGCAAUACUACUACAGCUACUCAGCAUCACGUACAGAUUUAGUCUGUCCUUUAAUCUACAGUGUGUUUGCUAUAAGUGACAUACACUUGUGUAAUGAAACUUCGAAGGCACUACAUGUACCCAGAUUUCAGCAGCCUUUUAAAACAUAGAUUUUGCAUGAAGUAUUAGACACGUAGCUUGGUUCUGAGGUCCAGUUCAUUGCAGCUAUAGUAAAUGUGUUAUUUCUUGAAUGCAUUGCAUGACUGAGUACAGUGUAGUAUAGAAUUCACCUAUCAUGAAGCUCACACACAUUAAAGCACUCAGGCAUUUGAGACACUUUCCAAGGUGUGUACUUGUGAGGGUAUUUGACACUUGCUUUGACACAAGUCUUGAAUGUAUUUAUUGACCUGUAAGAAAUGUUUGUUGUAAUGCUUUUUAUCUGUGUCUCAUGACCAGCUGCUCGGCAGCUUACAGUGCACUGUUUAAUGUUAUGAUUUGCUUUUAUAAUUGAAACAUUUUGUAUGUGUGAAAUUUUUAAUUUUAAAUAUUUCAGUAUCAUUUUAUGUUAUCAAAUUUUUUAUUUCUUUUUUUAUAUAUAUAUAUUGUCAGUUUACACUAAAUGUACGUGCUUAUGUGUUUUUUGGUCCCUGUGGAUUGUCUUAACUGCUGUUUUGUACAAGAUGCCUAUUAUUUCUGUGGUGCAAUAUUAAAGCAAACAAAUAUGAACAGAAUUUGGUGCUUGCCUUUUGUUUGCAUUGUUUCCAUUGAAGGUGGAAUAGUGUUCAGGACUAAACGCAAGCAGCUCUGUACAGUCUGUCCCGCUGUGUUGUCCAGGGUUGAGGCAGGGCCCAAUUCAAUGACAACUCCUUAAAAUUACUCAGGCUUCUGAAAGCCAAACAGCACAAUGUAAGGAGCACCGAAUCCCUGUAAAGGUCUAUUCACAUCACACACCUGUCUGGAAUGAAAACGCACAUGAGAUCUCCAUACAGGAAAAGAGUCCCAUGAAAGUAACUUCUGAAUAACCCUAAACAACGUGUCAUCAUGGAGACCAAAGAGCUACCAAAAACAUCUGGAUGAGACCAUUCACCAAAUUCAGGGUAAGGAGAACCAGUUAAAUCAGAUGCAUUUAUGACAAAGAACUGCACAGAUGCAGAUGUCACGGCUGUGGAUUUGAGGAGAGUUGACUGCUGGAAGUCAAAGAUGUCGUAUUUAAGUCUAUGUUCUGCUUGUUCAACAGUUGUUUGUUAAAUUGCUAUUAAACACAUUCGGACAGAUUUGAAGCGCUAGUUUUAUUCUCAAUUCUUAUUGUUUUGUUUAUGGGGCAUCAGAAAUUCAGGCAAACUGGUAUACCGUCUUCUAACAGUAAAACUAAUGAUGUUUUCUAGCUGUAAUUCUAACAUGACAAGAAGCCAAGUACAACAUGGCAAGCACCACAUCACACACGACACUGCUGUCAAACUUAUUAAUACAUUCAAAAAGACUGGAAGAGUUUCAGACCAACAGGAAAGUGGACAUCCACGAACACCUGGUGCUGGCGUACAUAGUCCCCUAUGUAUAGAGACUUUUGGGACACCCUGUAUAUUCAAAAACUACUACUUUUACACUUCACUAAUCUGUAUACUAUAUGUGAUACCAUAUGUAUCACAUGAAUGUAAUACAGUAAGUAUGAUAUAAAUG